This 520-nucleotide ribosomal RNA is filed under the name uncultured fungus. RNAcentral's name for it is "SSU rRNA". It matches the Rfam family "Eukaryotic small subunit ribosomal RNA", at positions 32 to 554 of the family's 1831-position model. The record is from RNAcentral. Lineage: Eukaryota; Fungi.
UUGUCUCAAAGAUUAAGCCAUGCAUGUCUAAGUAUAAGCAACUUGUACUGUGAAACUGCGAAUGGCUCAUUAAAUCAGUUAUCGUUUAUUUGAUAGUACCUUACUACAUGGAUACCUGUGGUAAUUCUAGAGCUAAUACAUGCUAAAAACCCCGACUUCAGGAAGGGGUGUAUUUAUUAGAUAAAAAACCAACGCCCUUCGGGGCUCCUUGGUGAAUCAUAAUAACUUAACGAAUCGCAUGGCCUUGCGCCGGCGAUGGUUCAUUCAAAUUUCUGCCCUAUCAACUUUCGAUGGUAGGAUAGUGGCCUACCAUGGUGGCAACGGGUAACGGGGAAUUAGGGUUCGAUUCCGGAGAGGGAGCCUGAGAAACGGCUACCACAUCCAAGGAAGGCAGCAGGCGCGCAAAUUACCCAAUCCCGAUACGGGGAGGUAGUGACAAUAAAUGCUGAUACGGGGCUCUUUUGGGUCUCGUAAUUGGAAUGAGAACAAUUUAAAUCCCUUAACGAGGAACAAUUGGAGG